AGCAUCUCUUCGAGGAAGCCUCCAUCGUUACCAGGCUACACCUUGAUAGCAAAAAGUUUGAUAAAGGUAAUUUAUUUGUUUUCUGCUUCUUUUUACGAUUUACAUAUUACAAUACAAUGACCAAGUUAAUGUCCGUCUGUGAGGCUGGACUGUGGUAAUAGAUUAAUGGAAAUUAAAACUAAUGUUUUCAUGGUUCAGUUUACCUUGCUUAUCGUUUAGUAUGGUUUAGUAUGAUUUCACCAUUUCGAUGUUCAUGGUUCUGUUAGCUAUGUGAUACCUAGAAUAGAAACCCACUCAUGUCCCAUCCUUGUUUGUUUCUCCCUGUAACUGACUUGAUUACAGUCACGUGCCCUACUAUGGGGAUUUUUUCCAACUAUUCUUGUUUUUGCUACCAUCAGGUUCUGAACGUCCAGCACAUUCAAAAGCUAGAUAAUCCAACUGUACCAAGGGAUGUCGACUAACCACCAUGGUCUGAUGAGUGUGGAUGACAUUGCCUCGAGGUACACAGUAGAAGCCUCUGCUGUCCAACACAUUUG
This 536-nucleotide long non-coding RNA is filed under the name Zea mays. Its description in RNAcentral is "long non-coding RNA (ZMAY_LNC001639)". The record is from RNAcentral. Lineage: Eukaryota; Viridiplantae; Streptophyta; Magnoliopsida; Poales; Poaceae.